This is a long non-coding RNA of Manis pentadactyla (Chinese pangolin), 534 nucleotides long. RefSeq lists it as uncharacterized. The record is from RefSeq and is a predicted model, not a curated record. NCBI's taxonomy places the organism in Eukaryota, Metazoa, Chordata, Mammalia, Pholidota, Manidae. The transcript has 3 exons.
CUUAAGAGGCAGCUGGGGCGCUGACCCAGGGCAGGCCCUGGCAGUCAGAGGCCCGCACCUGUGCCCCGGUCCUUGCAAUGCCCCUUGGCUCGCCCUGGCUGCAGCUGGAGCCAUUUCCAGGACGCAGCCUUGGGAGGCCGCGUGCUGUGGAGACCACCUGCGUGGGGUGGGCCGCUGAGCCCAGGUGAAGCCUCUCCAUAAACGUAGGGUUCCGGCGCGGGCGUGGAGACCGCCUGGCCUCGCCGCCUCUGGGACACACGCCCGGCUCUGGGCGUCCAUUCCUGGAAAGCAUUUGGAAAAGAGGCUUUGAAGGACCCAAAUGGCUGCCCGGGAGGAAACCCCGGCUGGGGUCGCGGACUUGCAGAUUCUGCGCCGACGGCGCCGUGCGGUUCACGUCCCAUUGUCAGGAUGAUAACAGCGCAGUGUCGUCCUAUUAUGUUCCAGACCAUUGGCCAAGCAAUGAAGAUACGCAAGAAACAAGAAAAAAGUCUUUGCAGUCCUGGAGCUUACAUAUUUGUGAAGAAAGAAGACAUC